AUACCGCAUACGACCUGAGGGUGAAAGCGGGGGACCGUAAGGCCUCGCGCGAUUGGAGCGGCCGAUAUCAGAUUAGCUAGUUGGUGGGGUAAAAGCCCACCAAGGCGACGAUCUGUAGCUGGUCUGAGAGGACGACCAGCCACACUGGGACUGAGACACGGCCCAGACUCCUACGGGAGGCAGCAGUGGGGAAUUUUGGACAAUGGACGCAAGUCUGAUCCAGCCAUGCCGCGUGCGGGAAGAAGGCCUUCGGGUUGUAAACCGCUUUUGUCAGGGAAGAAACGAGUUUCUCUAAUACAGAGACUUAAUGACGGUACCUGAAGAAUAAGCACCGGCUAACUACGUGCCAGCAGCCGCGGUAAUACGUAGGGUGCAAGCGUUAAUCGGAAUUACUGGGCGUAAAGCGUGCGCAGGCGGUUAUGCAAGACAGAGGUGAAAUCCCCGGGCUC
RNAcentral lists this ribosomal RNA (449 nucleotides) under Roseateles sp. RNAcentral describes it as "bacterial SSU rRNA". It matches the Rfam family "Bacterial small subunit ribosomal RNA", at positions 166 to 610 of the family's 1533-position model. The record is from RNAcentral. Lineage: Bacteria; Pseudomonadati; Pseudomonadota; Betaproteobacteria; Burkholderiales; Sphaerotilaceae.